UGGUCGUGAGAUAUUUUGCUACGCCGCGCAUAUCAUCCUCACAGCACUCAUCACACACAAUCCACACACAACCCAAUACAACACAACAUGUCAUCCACACAACCACAGCUACACAUCAUACCAACCACACUACACACCAACACUUCGCCUUUUUCACCACUCACAACCGAUACAAAAGGAUUGGUCACAUCGGAAUGACAGCCUUUUUUCGUUUUACCCGUGACCGCUAAGGUUUUUUCGCCAUCGAGACGUUCGUCGACACAUCGCUCUACAAGUUCAAAAUUUACUGAGUUAAACCAAAGUGAUAGUGGAGUAUUGUAUAAAGCAUUCCUUUGAAAAAUUUGUUGUGAAAAGAGAAAAUAAAUACAAAAGCCAUUAAGUUGAAAGUGAAAUACUUCUUUUCUUUAUUUCAAAGAAAAUUGGCUAAUUAGAAAAUUCCAGGUGCAAGUGCAAGUGCAAGUGCAACAAAAAUGGACAUAGAAGACAGCCAACUUACUCCCAAAGCUGUGAGAUCCGCCAUUGCUGCACCUAGAGCAUCAGCGCCACCCAUCGCCGCACCAAGGACACGAAGAGUCUUGAGUCCGCCAAGGCAAUCAUCUGUUGCAACACCCAGGGAUACGUUAGAAGAUCCAUUCGAAGAGACCUUGCCUCCACGAUGCAGCUUAUGCCAUCGGCCCCACGUGCUGAAGAGGUGCACUAUCUUCAAAAGCAUGAAGCCAGCUCAACGCCAACAGAUCGCUCGCGCACACGGCCAUUGCAUGAAUUGCUUGGCAGACUCCCACACCACCUUCGAAUGUCCAACCGACGGGUUAUGCCAAUACUGUCAACGCCCUCAUCAUACACUGUUUCAUCGAUUCCCUCGUCGAGUCAAUCCGCCAGCAAUCCGCACAAAUAACGGACACAGACAACACGAGGAUCCUGUCCAGCGCCGAAGAGGGCACCAUUCCAAACGCACCAGGGGAGCGCACUCACGACCACCUGCACCAACCUACGGUCAUCGUAAUCCACCCCGCAGACCCACUGGACUGAACGCCGUAGUGAGCACUCUGCAACGGUUGCAACGUCUUCUAGGCGAUUAAUCCGCCUAGGGGGGGCCGGGAUGUUUAUGCGACAUCUGGUCGUGAGAUAUUUUGCUACGCCGCGCAUAUCAUCCUCACAGCACUCAUCACACACAAUCCACACACAACCCAAUACAACACAACAUGUCAUCCACACAACCACAGCUACACAUCAUACCAACCACACUACACACCAACACUUCGCCUUUUUCACCACUCACAA
Bactrocera neohumeralis is the source of this 1281-nucleotide long non-coding RNA. RefSeq lists it as uncharacterized. NCBI's taxonomy places the organism in Eukaryota, Metazoa, Arthropoda, Insecta, Diptera, Tephritidae. The record is from RefSeq and is a predicted model, not a curated record. The transcript has 2 exons.